GCACCAGACUCCUACGGGAGGCAGCAGUGGGGAAUAUUGCACAAUGGGGGAAACCCUGAUGCAGCGACGCCGCGUGAGUGAAGAAGUAUUUCGGUAUGUAAAGCUCUAUCAGCAGGGAAGAAAAUGACGGUACCUGAGUAAGAAGCCCCGGCUAACUACGUGCCAGCAGCCGCGGUAAUACGUAGGGGGCAAGCGUUAUCCGGAUUUACUGGGCGUAAAGGGAGCGUAGACGGCAGUGCAAGUCUGGAGUGAAAGGCGGGGGCUCAACCCCCGGACUGCUCUGGAAACUGUACGGCUGGAGUGCAGGAGAGGUAAGUGGAAUUCCUAGUGUAGCGGUGAAAUGCGUAGAUAUUAGGAGGAACACCAGUGGCGAAGGCGGCUUACUGGACUGUAACUGACGUUGAGGCUCGAAAGCGUGGGGAGCAAACAGGAUUAGAUACCCGGGUA
This 447-nucleotide ribosomal RNA is filed under the name uncultured bacterium. RNAcentral's name for it is "bacterial SSU rRNA". It matches the Rfam family "Bacterial small subunit ribosomal RNA", at positions 328 to 792 of the family's 1533-position model. The record is from RNAcentral.